Molecule: ribosomal RNA, 253 nt
Filed under: uncultured bacterium
Lineage: Bacteria
Description: partial 16S ribosomal RNA
Rfam family: Bacterial small subunit ribosomal RNA
Source: RNAcentral
UACGUAGGGUGCAAGCGUUACUCGGAAUUACUGGGCGUAAAGCGUGCGCAGGCGGCUUUGCAAGACAGAUGUGAAAUCCCCGGGCUUAACCUGGGAACUGCAUUUGUGACUGCAUGGCUGGAGUGCGGCAGAGGGGGAUGGAAUUCCGCGUGUAGCAGUGAAAUGCGUAGAGAUGCGGAGGAACACCGAUGGCGAAGGCAGCCCCCUGGGUCGACACUGACGCUCAGGCACGAAAGCGUGGGGAGCAAACAGG